This 204-nucleotide long non-coding RNA is filed under the name Lathyrus oleraceus (garden pea). RNAcentral's name for it is "Pisum sativum (pea) long non-coding RNA (PSAT_LNC031271)". Lineage: Eukaryota; Viridiplantae; Streptophyta; Magnoliopsida; Fabales; Fabaceae. The record is from RNAcentral.
AACUAUUAAAAACCAAAUAAUUCAUUAAAAAUAUUAAAUGAAGUCACAAAAAUAGUUAAAAUUCAAAAUAUGAAGCUAGAUUUUUCAAGAAUUUUUUUGGCAUUGGUCUCAUAUUUUUGUGACUUCAUAUAAAAUAUUUAUGAAUUUUUGAAAAUAAAAGGAAUUAACUGAAAUUAAAACAAAAAUAAGAAAAAUAGAAAAAAU